Molecule: long non-coding RNA, 734 nt
Filed under: Rattus norvegicus (Norway rat)
Lineage: Eukaryota; Metazoa; Chordata; Mammalia; Rodentia; Muridae
Description: long non-coding RNA NONRATT020452
Source: RNAcentral
GCAGUGUGUGUUCUGUCACCAUGGGUUUUUUUUCCUGCCUUCGGACUCAGGGUUUACAGCUCUGCGAGUAGCUGCUCCGUGACAGCAUCGCUCUGCAGUCACAGGCCCACCGCCUGCCUGUAAGGAACCCCAUCUGGGAGACGGGAAGCUGCGGUGCACUCAGAAGAGAAUGGAAGGCCUUCAGAAGAGCACAUAUGGAACUAUAGUUGAAGCCCUGAGACGGGAUCUCUCAGUGGAUUGCUUUCUACUAGACUAACUGCCAGGAGCUCCAGGAUCUGCCUACCACUUUGUGCUGCCUGAUGCUGAGAUUACAGCUGCAAAGUGCAGAGAAGAGAGAACAGGUCAGAUUUCAGACUUGAUUCUGCUUCUCUUGAACUGCCGUUCAGUGAGACAUUUGAGGCCUCAAGCAAUAGUUCCCACAUGGAUAUUGUCUAAGGAGUGGACUCCCCAGAAGUAGAAUAUAUGAUACCGAAUUUUUAAGAAAAGUGGCCAAGGGGUUGGGGAUUUAGCUCAGUGGUAGAGCGCUUGCCUAGGAAGCGCAAGGCCCUGGGUUUGGUCCUCAGCUCCGGAUUAAAAAAAGAAAAGAAAAAAGAAGAAGAAGAAAAGUGGCCAAUAUAAACACUGGGUUAAGCAGGAGCCCUAAUGCCAACAAAGUCAUGCUAGAAGCCAAGCAAGGAGGCUGUGUGGAGCUCAGCGAAGACUCUGAAGCCUGGGUGUGAUUCGCCAACCUUGAA